Molecule: ribosomal RNA, 515 nt
Filed under: uncultured bacterium
Lineage: Bacteria
Description: partial 16S ribosomal RNA
Rfam family: Bacterial small subunit ribosomal RNA
Source: RNAcentral
GAUGAACGCUGGCGGCGUGCCUAAUACAUGCAAGUCGAGCGAAUGGAUUAAGAGCUUGCUCUUAUGAAGUUAGCGGCGGACGGGUGAGUAACACGUGGGUAACCUGCCCAUAAGACUGGGAUAACUCCGGGAAACCGGGGCUAAUACCGGAUAACAUUUUGAACCGCAUGGUUCGAAAUUGAAAGGCGGCUUCGGCUGUCACUUAUGGAUGGACCCGCGUCGCAUUAGCUAGCUGGUGAGGUAACGGCUCACCAAGGCAACGAUGCGUAGCCGACCUGGGAGCGUGAUCGGCCACACUGGGACUGAGACACGGCCCAGACUCCUACGGGAGGCAGCAGUAGGGAAUCUUCCGCAAUGGACGAAAGUCUGACGGAGCAACGCCGCGUGAGUGAUGAAGGCUUUCGGGUCGUAAAACUCUGUUGUUAGGGAAGAACAAGUGCUAGUUGAAUAAGCUGGCACCUUGACGGUACCUAACCAGAAAGCCACGGCUAACUACGUGCCAGCCGCCGCGGUAA